UGGGGAAUCUUGGACAAUGGGCGCAAGCCUGAUCCAGCCAUGCCGCGUGGAUGAUGAAGGCCUUAGGGUUGUAAAAUCCUUUCGUUGGGGACGAUAAUGACGGUACCCAAAGAAGAAGCUCCGGCUAACUUCGUGCCAGCAGCCGCGGUAAUACGAAGGGGGCUAGCGUUGUUCGGAUUUACUGGGCGUAAAGCGCGUGUAGGCGGAUUUGUAAGUUGGGGGUGAAAUCCCGAGGCUCAACCUCGGAACUGCCUCCAAAACUACAAGUCUGGACCUAAGUAGAGGCAAGUGGAGUUGCGAGUGUAGAGGUGAAAUUCGUAGAUAUUCGCAGGAACACCAGUGGCGAAGGCGACUUGCUGGGCUGAUACUGACGCUGAGGCGCGAAAGCUAGGGUAGCAAACGGGAUUAGAUACCCCCGUAGUCCCUGAGCGGGCUGGCAAGGCGCAU
Molecule: ribosomal RNA, 447 nt
Filed under: uncultured bacterium
Lineage: Bacteria
Description: bacterial SSU rRNA
Rfam family: Bacterial small subunit ribosomal RNA
Source: RNAcentral